This is a long non-coding RNA of Pan troglodytes (chimpanzee), 2084 nucleotides long. RefSeq lists it as uncharacterized. The transcript has 4 exons. The record is from RefSeq and is a predicted model, not a curated record. NCBI's taxonomy places the organism in Eukaryota, Metazoa, Chordata, Mammalia, Primates, Hominidae.
AUGGGAAGUGAGAAAAGCUGGUGGGGGGAAGACAAGGAAGGAACAACUGACUGUGAGCCUUGAACAAGCUACUUCCAUUUUCUGGCUCUUUAGUCUCCUCAUUUGUAAAAUGAGGGGGCUGGAGUAAGUAAGCUCUAUAAGGCUCUCAGCUGUGACAUCUAUGCAUAAUCACAGAAGAUCGAAGUGUACAGAACACCAUGGAAACUGAAGAGAGAUUCUGAAAGGAGGCUUUAAGAGGUCACUUGCAUCCAAUGCUACAGAGGUGUCAGAGACUGAGGACUUAAAUGAAGCCACUGAUUAGCAACUUAAAGAUCCUCUCCAAGACAGGGUCUCACUGAGUGCAGCAGCACGAUCUUGGCUCACUGCAACCUCCAGCUCCCAGGUCCAAGCGAUUCUCCUGCCUCAGCCUCCUGAGUAGCUGGCAUUACAGAUGGAGUUUCAGCCUUGUUGCCCAGGCUGGAGUGCGAUGGCACCACCUCGGCUCACUGCAACCUCCACCUCCUGGGUUCAAGCGAUUCUCCUGCCCCAGCCUCCCAAGUAGCUGGGACUACAGGCUAAUGGAAUGCUAAGGCCAGAACUGUACCCUACCAACCUCAGAUGUGGAAACAGAGGUUCUUGAAGGACAAGACUUGCCUAAGGUCUCACUGUGAGUUGGCAGCAGAGCUGGGACUCAGGCCUUGUGCUUCCCAGACCUGUACUCUUUCUGCAGCACCAUGAUGCUUCUGAAUUACACAAAAAACAUCAAUUGCCUAUGGUGUGUGAGGUCCUGGGUGGGGUAUGGGGCUGUGGUGAAAUACUAUCCCUACAGCAGCGGGUCUCACUCCAUGCUCGGGUGUGCAUUAGAAGCGCUCAGGGCUCAUGUUCAACAUAUAGAUUCCCAGGCUCUGCCCCCAGAAAUUCUUAUUCAGUAAGGAGCACCCCAUCCCAGAAAUCCUGGCAACCCCAUUCUGAGAAACUCUGCCCUAGGACAUCAAAGGAAAACAAACUCCCAGCUUGCCAGAGGGUUGUAGGGAUCAAGCUGUGAUUUUUCCACCUGUUCCUUAGGCUGUUACUGUUCCAAUUCUCCCCAGCCCAGCCACAUCUCACCAUUUUUUUUGAGUUGGGGAGAUGGGAAUGAGCAGAUGGGAGUUGCUUCUGUGUGCUACAGUGGAAAGAACACGCCCUGAGGGUCAAGAGACCCAGGUUUUGGUCCCAGAUCUGCCACAGACCAGCGACGGGGGCCUUGAGCAGCAGCAAGUCACUCCCCUGGGCCUGUUUCCUCAUCUGUAAAAUUGGGAUACUGAUUCCUGCCUUAGACGCUUCCAGAGAUACAGGGAGGAUUCUCUAAGGUAAAUGCCAAGGCACUUUACAGAAAACAUGAAGCGAUAUUCCAACAGGAAGAAUUAUACAGGGGGAGAAACUCCUCUCAGCAUGAGGGUAAAUUUAAAAUUCAGGAUCUUUUGCCUCCUUUAAAGUCCAUAGUUCCCAGAGACCCCCAAGUUCUGCCACCAGAGCAGCCUGGGUCUAUCAGCUACACUCUGGCCAGAGGUAGUGGGGUGGGAGACAGAGGUGUGUAUGGCAGGAGUUACUAAACCUGUGUACACGUUUGGUCUAAGCUUCAGGGUGGGAAAAUUGAGUCUAGACUUUCAAUCCAGGAGAAAGAACACAGAAGGGAUGGUCUUCUGGCUCCACCCACUAGGAAAAGGGUGGAGCCUCUGGCUCCAUCUUGGCUUCCUAGAGUUUCUCCUGAGGUGUCACCGAGAGAGCCACUGGCUCUGCCUUUGGCACACACUUUAGGGUGGAAUUUGGGGCUGGGAAGAUUGGAAGAAAUAGGGUUGCUGCUUCUGCUCUGAGCCUGCCUUAGGCCACCAAAUUCUCCCUGCAAGGCAGCCAGGGCCCUCAGAUGAGGUGGUGCUUAUGCCUGCUUACUGCCCCCUGAGCCUGGGCUACUUGGAGGAAGGCUGGGUCCUGGGGGCAAGGGCAGGUGGGCAGGCAGCCCUCCCUCUCUCUCUCUCUCCCUCCCCGCCGGCUCGCUACCUACCUCCUUUCCUACAAAUUUUCUUGUUGGGCUUUCGGGCGCAUUCCUUGGAAAUCCGCUUUACUGU